AUUGAACGCUGGCGGUAGGCCUAACACAUGCAAGUCGAACGGCAGCACAGUAAUAGCUUGCUCUUACGGGUGGCGAGUGGCGGACGGGUGAGGAAUACAUCGCAAUCUACUUUUUCGUGGGUGAUAACGUAGGGAAACUUACGCUAAUACUGCAUACGACCUACGGGUGAAAGCAUGGGAUCUUCGGACCUUGCGCGAGUGAAUGAGCCGAUGUCGGAUUAGCUAGUUGGAGGGGUAAAGGCCCACCAAGGCGACGAUCCGUAGCUGGUCUGAGAGGAUGAUCAGCCACACUGGAACUGAGACACGGUCCAGACUCCUACGGGAGGCAGCAGUGGGGAAUAUUGGACAAUGGGCGCAAGCCUGAUCCAGCCAUACCGCGUGGGUGAAGAAGGCCUUCGGGUUGUAAAGCCCUUUUGUUGGGAAAGAAAAGCAGCAGGUUAAUACCUCGCUGUUCUGACGGUACCAAAAGAAUAAGCACCGGCUAACUUCGUG
Molecule: ribosomal RNA, 492 nt
Filed under: uncultured bacterium
Lineage: Bacteria
Description: partial 16S ribosomal RNA
Rfam family: Bacterial small subunit ribosomal RNA
Source: RNAcentral